RNAcentral lists this ribosomal RNA (618 nucleotides) under uncultured bacterium. Its description in RNAcentral is "bacterial SSU rRNA". It matches the Rfam family "Bacterial small subunit ribosomal RNA", at positions 100 to 714 of the family's 1533-position model. The record is from RNAcentral.
GGACGGGUGAGUAAUGCCUAGGAAUCUGCCUGGUAGUGGGGGACAACGUUUCGAAAGGAACGCUAAUACCGCAUACGUCCUACGGGAGAAAGCAGGGGACCUUCGGGCCUUGCGCUAUCAGAUGAGCCUAGGUCGGAUUAGCUAGUUGGUGAGGUAAUGGCUCACCAAGGCGACGAUCCGUAACUGGUCUGAGAGGAUGAUCAGUCACACUGGAACUGAGACACGCGUCCAGACUCCUACGGGAGGCAGCAGUGGGGAAUAUUGGACAAUGGGCGAAAGCCUGAUCCAGCCAUGCCGCGUGUGUGAAGAAGGUCUUCGGAUUGUAAAGCACUUUAAGUUGGGAGGAAGGGCAUGCACCUAAUACGUGUGUGUCUUGACGUUACCGACAGAAUAAGCACCGGCUAACUCUGUGCCAGCAGCCGCGGUAAUACAGAGGGUGCAAGCGUUAAUCGGAAUUACUGGGCGUAAAGCGCGCGUAGGUGGUUCGUUAAGUUGAAUGUGAAAUCCCCGGGCUCAACCUGGGAACUGAUCCAAAACUGGCGAGCUAGAGUAUGGUAGAGGGUGGUGGAAUUUCCUGUGUAGCGGUGAAAUGCGUAGAUAUAGGAAGGAACACCAGUG